This is a long non-coding RNA of Hemicordylus capensis (graceful crag lizard), 552 nucleotides long. RefSeq lists it as uncharacterized. The record is from RefSeq and is a predicted model, not a curated record. The transcript has 5 exons. Lineage: Eukaryota; Metazoa; Chordata; Lepidosauria; Squamata; Cordylidae.
UAGCAGUCCACCUGAAGAAGAGAGACACUGAAGCCCAUGAGCAUUAGUUGCUGACCACUUCAUGAAAAAGCCUUCAGCUAAACAAGGAACGAGCCUCAUUAGAAAUUAUGGGAUGAAACCACAGUGUUUUUUUGUGAUGAUGAGGAUGACGAUGACGACUUGGAUCUCCAGGAGUUCAUGAACUGCUCCUUCUCCAGCUCUGCUGGGGAGAAGAACACCAAGCUAGGAAAGGCAGAAACCAUACCACGGCUGUAACAAAAGGUUCAGACCAAAGCUGUCAACACUAAAUGCCAUGAGUACCAAAGGCUUCUACUGGAUCCAGCCACCAACGUCUUAUGAAGUUGCAGUUUCUUUUACUCAGGUAUUUUCAUGAAGUUUUCUUCUGAUGUCACUCUGCUUUCCCCCAAAGAACCACACAACUUGCUCCAACUACUCAAAGAGACCUUGCACUUGUUUUUCCCGAAUAACACCUCUCAAUGCCACACAGCAAACCACUUCUGAAACUGAGGGGCUUUUCGCAGCAGUUUGUACUAUGGAAUUGGUAUCUGACAU